This 253-nucleotide ribosomal RNA is filed under the name uncultured bacterium. Its description in RNAcentral is "partial 16S ribosomal RNA". It matches the Rfam family "Bacterial small subunit ribosomal RNA", at positions 524 to 776 of the family's 1533-position model. The record is from RNAcentral.
UACGUAGGGUGCGAGCGUUAAUCGGAAUUACUGGGCGUAAAGCGUGCGUAGGCGGUUCGUUAUGUCUGCUGUGAAAGCCCCGGGCUUAACCUGGGAAUGGCAGUGGAAACUGGCGGGCUUGAGUGUGGCAGAGGGGGGUGGAAUUCCGCGUGUAGCAGUGAAAUGCGUAGAGAUGCGGAGGAACACCGAUGGCGAAGGCAGCCCCCUGGGCUGACACUGACGCUGAGGCACGAAAGCGUGGGGAGCGAACAGG